Molecule: long non-coding RNA, 215 nt
Filed under: Capsicum annuum
Lineage: Eukaryota; Viridiplantae; Streptophyta; Magnoliopsida; Solanales; Solanaceae
Description: long non-coding RNA (CANN_LNC011510)
Source: RNAcentral
AACACUCCACCAUCCUCCCCCUUGAUAUACUUCACUUGGUAAAGGUCACAAACCCUCUACUCUCUAGACUUAGCAAGUCUAUACAAAUUUUUAUCCCCAUUUUCUCCUCUAAAGUCGUAUACAAGCUCUCAAAAGUUGCUGUCUUAGCCACCGUAACCUCUAACUUAGCCUCUCUUCUAGCUAUUUUAUACUAGUCCCUAUUCAUCUGCCUCUCC